Molecule: long non-coding RNA, 1351 nt
Organism: Gasterosteus aculeatus aculeatus (three-spined stickleback)
Lineage: Eukaryota; Metazoa; Chordata; Actinopteri; Perciformes; Gasterosteidae
Source: Ensembl
AGUCGCCCCCUGCUGGUCACUACAGAGAAUGCAUUUUGAAUGGCUUCACGUGAGAGCAGCAGAAAAAUAGUUUACUGCUGUCUGAGGCGGAGGCGGAGCUUGCCGCCUUGGAGGAGCUUCGGCUGAGCAGAGCGAUGGCUUAUGUCUCCAUCGACCCCAGCAGUGUGGGUGGCUGUUUGAGUCUGGAGGAAGUUCGCUUGAAGCAGCAGCAGGAAAUGAUGGAAGCAAAGAAGAAACAGAAACCGGUGUGAAAACUCAUUUACGUUUCAUUUCAUGAAAAGAACAAAAGUGCGAGAGCACCAAAAGUAAUAGAGGUUUUCAGAGUUGUGUUAUGUCAUUUUAUAAUACAUAGUUGUUUAAUCACAAUAAUCUGAAUCUGUGAUGUAACUAGACAAAUCCCUGUGAAAGGUUCUUGAAGUAUCAAGCAGUACAUUAAGUGUACUUGAGAUAUUUGUGUAGUAAAGCUAAAUCAUUUGUGGUGAUUUGCCUUGUUGUUGUUUUAAGGUGAGUUGUUGAGGCAAACGUGGAACGCUGAGUCAACUCUCCUCGUCUCUGGCAGCUGAACUCAAAGUGAUUUUAAACUGGAUUAUCUUCACUUAUCUAAAGACUAAAUGUCAAUAAAUAAUGUACAAAAGUGGCUCACAGAAAUGUAUACGUUUUGAUAACUGUUGUUCAGUGUGUGUUGUGUAAUAUAUUUUUUAAUAUAAAAUGUAUUUAUUAAUGGUUGUUCACUGCAAAUUACAAAUAUAUUGCGUUAAUGUAGAAAGAAACACAAAUGUACAAAUAAACCCUGAAUGAGGCCGUGGGUUACUUCCAAUCAAGUGGAAGUGGUCCCCACAUUUAACUUCAACUGGAAGCCACAUAUUAGACACAUAUAAGACACAUGUAAGACACGUCAAAAGCAGUCCGUCUCUCUAGAAGCAAUAAACUGUUAAAUUCAUGCUAAAGGUCUGACAUGUCUGCUUGAGUCUCAUUCAGCUGUUGACGAGGCUCAUGGGAAAUGUUGCAUAUAGCGCGAUUAAAUAACCCCCACUUGAUUUGUAAGAAAUCAAUUUACAGUCGUGGAGGAAUUUAGACAUUUUUACUUAAAUAAAAGUAUCUAUGACGCAAGAGAAAGUCACGUGUCCAGGAGAAAAAUGUAUCCAAAGCAUCAAAGUAAAAGUAAGAAAACGUUAUUAUCAAGCAUUCACUGUGCAGAUGUGGGCAGCAUUUUAAUAUUGCAGCUGGCUGCAGUAGUCUUUCUGUCAGUUUUACGGUAUUUUAUAGGUAUUGUCUUUGUAAUGUUGUUUAUCAUUUUAAUAAUAUUUCAUAAAUUAAAAAUAUUUAUUUUGUGAUCAGCUGGUAUUGUCUG